GGCGGCGGCGGCGGCGACGGCCGCAGGAGGCGCAGUCUUCCUCCCAGGUGCGCGCUUCGCUCCCGGAGCCGCGGAACUCGGCGGCCGCCAUGGCGUCCAACAUGGACCGGGAGAUGAUCCUGGCGGAUUUUCAGGCGUGUACUGGCAUUGAAAACAUUGACGAAGCUAUUACAUUGCUUGAACAAAAUAAUUGGGAUUUAGUGGCAGCUAUCAAUGGUGUAAUACCCCAGGAAAAUGGCAUUCUACAAAGUGAAUACGGACGUGAGAGCAUACCAGGAUCUGCAUUUGAUCCAGCAAGUCGUUCAGCUUCAGCUCCUGCUCCCUCUUCCUCUUCAGCAUUUCGACCUGUAAUGCCAUCCAGGCAAAUUGUAGAAAGACAACCUCGGAUGCUGGACUUCAGGGUUGAGUACAGAGACAGAAAUGUUGAUGUGGUACUUGAAGACAGCUGUACUGUUGGAGAGAUUAAACAGAUUCUAGAAAACGAACUUCAGAUACCUGUGUCUAAAAUGCUGUUAAAAGGCUGGAAGACUGGAGAUGUGGAAGACAGUACGGUCUUAAAAUCUCUACACUUGCCAAAAAACAACAGCCUUUAUGUCCUUACACCAGACUUGCCACCACCUUCAUCAUCUAGUCAUGUUGGUGCCCUGCAGGAGUCAUUAAAUCAAAGCUUCAUGCUGAUCGUCACCCACCGAGAAGUCCAGCGGGAGUACAACCUGAACUUCUCCGGAAGCAGUACCAUUCAGGAGGUAAAGAGGAAUGUGUAUGACCUUACAAGUAUCCCUGUUCGCCAUCAAUUAUGGGAGGGCUGGCCAACUUCUGCCACAGAUGACUCAAUGUGUCUUGCUGAAUCAGGCCUCUCUUAUCCCUGCCAUCGACUUACAGUGGGAAGAAGGUCUUCACCUGCACAGACCCGGGAGCAGUCCGAGGAGCAAAGCACCGAUGUUCAUAUGGUUAGUGAUAGUGAUGGAGACGACUUUGAAGAUGCUACAGAAUUUGGUGUAGAUGAUGGAGAAGUUUUUGGCAUGGCAUCAUCUGCCCUGAGGAAAUCUCCAAUGAUGCCAGAAAACGCAGAAAAUGAAGGAGAUGCCUUAUUACAAUUUACAGCAGAGUUUUCUUCAAGAUACGGUGACUGCCAUCCUGUAUUUUUUAUUGGGUCAUUAGAAGCUGCUUUUCAAGAGGCCUUCUACGUGAAAGCCCGAGAUAGAAAGCUUCUUGCUAUCUACCUCCACCAUGAUGAAAGUGUAUUAACCAACGUGUUCUGUUCCCAAAUGCUUUGUGCCGAAUCCAUUGUCUCUUAUCUGAGUCAAAAUUUUAUAACCUGGGCUUGGGAUCUGACAAAGGACGCCAACAGAGCACGAUUUCUGACAAUGUGCACUAGACACUUUGGCAGUGUUGUUGCACAAACCAUUCGGACUCAAAAAACAGAUCAGUUUCCACUUUUCCUGAUUAUUAUGGGAAAGCGAUCAUCUAAUGAAGUGUUAAAUGUGAUACAAGGAAACACAACAGUGGAUGAGUUAAUGAUGAGACUCAUGGCUGCAAUGGAGAUCUUCACGGCCCAACAACAGGAAGAUAUAAAGGAUGAGGAUGAACGUGAAGCCAGAGAAAAUGUGAAAAGAGAGCAAGAUGAAGCCUAUCGUCUUUCACUUGAGGCUGACAGAGCAAAAAGAGAAGCUCAUGAGAGAGAGAUGGCUGAACAGUUUCGUUUGGAGCAGAUUCGUAAAGAGCAAGAAGAGGAACGUGAGGCUAUCCGGCUCUCCUUAGAGCAGGCCCUGCCCCCAGAGCCAAAGGAAGAAAAUGCUGAGCCCGUGAGCAAACUGCGAAUCCGGACCCCCAGUGGCGAGUUCCUGGAGCGGCGUUUCCUGGCCAGCAGUAAGCUCCAGAUUGUCUUCGAUUUUGUAGCCUCCAAAGGAUUUCCAUGGGACGAGUUCAAGUUACUGAGCACCUUUCCUAGGAGAGAUGUAACCCAGCUGGAUCCAAAUAAAUCAUUAUUGGAGGUAAAGUUAUUCCCUCAAGAAACCCUUUUCCUUGAAGCAAAAGAGUAAACAUGGCCCAGCGGUGGAACCAGCCACUCCUUGACAAGUCACAGUCCUGCGUCAAGAGAAGGGCUCCUCGCCAACCCACCCACACGCUCCUCUCACUCAAUCUGAUGUCACACUUCUGCCUCUUGCAAGAUUGCUGGAAAAAAAAGCAGGAGAUGCCAACAUAGUCUCAAGUGUCCACCUGAUUCAAGAAGCUCACUCCUCACCAGCAUCCCUCUCCAACCCAUUGUCCAGUCCAAUCCAUGUCUGAAGAGUUGACUUCGGGAAUGGUUCCUGUCCUGGGCCAACAGAAGAGGAGGGGAUGAGACAAAGGCAGGACUCCACCCCAGGUUGGCUCCCACACUGGCAGCCCUGGCAGGCCAGGCCCUGUGACCAGAGGUGAUGAGGACACAUGAAGAAGCGUGCCAGACACUUGACCAACAGUAAGAACACAGUGUGGUCAACCCUGGGGGCUGGAGGAAGGGGAGUAAAUAUGCCCCCAAGGAAAGUGGCUCCAAAUAGGGAAGGGACAUGCUCUAGUGCCCCCAACCCCAUGAGGUCAGUUGGAGAAAGAGGUGGGAAAUUGGCCUCAACUCUGCCUCCUUGUUUCCAACCAGUCUCACUUUCUUCUCUGUAGAUGCAAAAGAACAGUUCUCACCCCCUUCCCCCAACUAGCUGUACGACCCUGGGAAAGUCACUUCCUCUCUGUGCCUCAGUUUCCUCUGUUGUAAGUUGGAGAUGAAUGUGAGUGACCAUGUGGCUUCAAAGACAGCCAAAUGGGGAGGCACUUGGAGAGCUUGCAAAGUCAGUGGACCCUUCUUGUGCCUCUGACAAGAGACACUGGGGCAUCCCAGAGGCGGGGUCCUAAAGAACAAGUAGAAGUUUUCCAGGUGACUAACAGGUCUGGGACUGGGAGCCAGCCUAGCAUCAGCCGGAAGAGGCUCUGUGCAUCAGUACAUCCUCAAGCCUGGACUCUGAAACUGCCACUGGGGCAAGAAAGCCUACUGUGAGCCACUACCCCUCCUCCACCCGCGCCAGGACAGAGGUUUAAUGUGUGGGGCUCGGCUCCGGGCCAACCAAUAUGCGGCUCCUAACUGGAAAAGGAUGAGUUAGGGCGGCCGGUAGCCAGCCAUGCAGCUAGGAACUCGCCCGGGUACACACAGCCGGUCGGAGACUGCGCGUCCCAGCGGGAAAAGCGGUGCAGAGGUGAGAUGAGGGGUAGAGACACUCAGAGUAGGAGAACUUGUUGAGGGAAAGACGCCAACUGUGAGAGAGAGUGUAGACAGGGGCUCUGAGGAGGUCGAUCAGGCUUCUCUCUCCCGCCUCCACUCCUCUAUCUUGUUUUUGGUCAAUGACCCGAGGUUACAGGCUGGGAGUGUGCGGCAGCCGACCGGCCCUCGCCGCACUGCCAAGGAGGUACUUGGACUCAAACCCAAGCUGAUCCCGCCCAGGAGCCAAGCCCUAAGGCUCUUCUCCUCCACAGUGCCCUCCCCGGACACGAGGUGGCCUGGCCGCUGCUGUCUUCCAGCCCAUCGACUCCGGGGAGAGCCCAGAGAGACUGGCGACUCGUCUGCGGUCGCACAGCGCGGUGGAGGUGCGGAAUCUUGGCUGACGCAUGUGCCCGGGGCUGAUUCUCCGGAUCGCCGUUUCCAGAAACUCUCUAGGGAGAUGGUUACUAGGAGAAGGAAGAUCCAAAGAAGACUAUUUUGUGGGUGCACACCGUUCCCAAAACCCCAGGAGGACUUGCAAAUCGCUUGGGCUGUUGCACUCUGUUUUGGAACCGCGUCCCCUUCUUUCCUCGGCCUUGUCAAUUCACGAUGCUGCCAAACUCAGCUCGGGAAAACUGUGAGAACUGAUUUAAAAUGAGGGGUGGGAGACCGGUUCCAAGAUAAAUACACAAGAAUCUGUAACUUUCUUAAGCUCCUGCCAUUACCAGUUAGACUUGUGAUGGGUGAAAAAAUUCUGUUUACCAUGGUCACAUAAAAUACCAGGAAUAUGCUUAAGAAACAGAACUAUAGAAAGAAAAUGACAUCUACCAAUGUAUAUUAAAGUCGUGAAUAAAUAAAGUCACACUGUGUCCUAGAUGGAAAUACCCUGUAUUGUGAAGAUGCAUAAUCUCCCUCAUAAAUUUCUAAAGGCAAUUUAACUCCAAUCAAAUUGCCAAAAGUGUUUUCUUUUUCUUUUUUGGAACUGGCUUUAAAAUUUCCAAAAGUAUUUAUUUUGAAAAUAGCCAGGAGAAUUUGAAAAAGAAGAAUCAGGAAUAAGGAGGGCUUGUUCUUUCAAGUAUUACAAAGCUACACUAAUUGAAACAGUGAGGCUGGUGCAAGAGUGAGCUGUUCUCUGAAAAAGAAGAGAAAUGCUGAAAUCAACCUGAGGUUGUCUGACUUGAGAAUUUAGUCUGCAGUGAAGGUGGUAUUUCGUGUCGGUGGGGAAAGGGUGGGUCAUUAAACAGUGCUGUGGCAACUGGCUAAUCAUUUGGGAAAAAAUUAAGAUACAAGCCUACUUCACACCUUCCACCAAAAUUAUUUUCAAAUAAAUUAAAGAUGUAAAUAAUGAAAAAGUGCUAAUAUAAAAUAGAAGUGAAUGCUUUUAGAAUGUUGGAUUUGGAAAAUCCUUGUUAAGUAUGAUACUAUAAAUCAAAUCUAUAAAGAAAAGUGGUCAGAUUUGGUUAUAUAAAUGUUUAAACUUCUGUAUAACAAUAAUGAAAGAGUAUAAUAAAGUCAAAAGAAGGACAAAAAUAUGGGGGGACACUUGCAGCAUGUGUUGCAGAUUAAAGACAGUAGUAACUGCUUUGAUAUUGUCUUUAAUAUAUAAACAGCUAUUAUAAAUUAAGGAAAGGAAAAGCGCUAUGAUAAAAAAAUUAGCAAAGGAUAUACACAGAUAAACACACACACACACAAACCCACAAGUGACCAAGACAUAUAUGAAAUACUGUUUUUCCUGCUUGAAUUGGCAAAGAUUUAAAAAGUCAGCAAGAUGCACUGCUGUUGAGUGUGUUCACUGAUACAAUCUUCUCUGAGGACUAUCAGACAGGCAGCUGCAAAAAGCCUUAAAGAAAAAAAAAAAAGGAAAAGAGCCAAACAAUCUUAUUUCUAAGAAUUUGUCUUAAGGAAAUAAUUAGGCAAAUUCACAAAGGACAUUCAUGGUAGCAAUGUUUAUUAUAGCUAAAAUUAGAAGCUAAGUAUCUAUUAAUAGAGAAUUGGCUAAAUAAAUUAGGGUGCAUUCAUACAAUGCUAUAUUAAGCAAUCUUCUAAGAUUAUGUAGACCUAUAAUUAAUAUGAAAAGAUGUUCAUCAUAUUUGUAAACAAAGCAACAACCAAAAGUAUAUUUUUGUAAAUUGUGUGCACAGAAGAGUUUAGAAAGAUAUAUUCCAAAUAUACUUUGCUGAAUUGUCCUAAGUGUUUUAUAAUAAGAGGCAUUACUUUAUCAGAACAAAUGACAAUGUUUCCUUUUGGGAAGUCUAACUUCUCAUUCAGGGGUCCCCUCCUUUCCGCAGACCCCAAGAUCAGGGACUCCCACAGCAACUCUGUUCUAUGAAGUCACUGGGGGGUGAUCGUGUGCCCAUUUGACCAACGAACUUCAACUUCGAAAGGGCCCAUCACGGUUGAUUCAUCUCUGAUCCCCAGGCCUCAGGGCCUGGCACUACUAGAUAGAUGCUCAACAAGUCCUGUUGCGUGCAUGAAUAACCCGAUCUUUCUUUUUUUUUUUUUCCGUGAAUGCGCGCUGAGAAUUGACUCAAGUCGAACGUAAUGGGAAGCCUCUAGGUCUGAGCCUACUCGCCCAGAACAGAAGGUGAGGGGAAAAAAAGCCUCAGAGUGGGAGGCGGAUGGGGUUCCCGGACAAGUUAUGUCGCCUCCCUGAAUUUGGCUCUCUGAUCUGUGAAACGUGGGACAUCACACCUCCCCUAAGGACUUCGUACCAAGAGCCACAUCACACACCAAGUGCUGAACAGAGGGGCUGUACACAGUAGGCGCUCACUAAGUCGAAGUAAAUAAUUGGGCAAUGAGCAACUC
Molecule: RNA transcript, 6031 nt
Organism: Loxodonta africana (African savanna elephant)
Lineage: Eukaryota; Metazoa; Chordata; Mammalia; Proboscidea; Elephantidae
Gene: FAF1
Gene name: Fas associated factor 1
Exons: 21
Source: RefSeq, a predicted model, not a curated record